This 501-nucleotide unclassified non-coding RNA is filed under the name uncultured fungus. Its description in RNAcentral is "partial contains 5.8S ribosomal RNA, internal transcribed spacer 2, and large subunit ribosomal RNA". Lineage: Eukaryota; Fungi. The record is from RNAcentral. RNAcentral also lists the same sequence under 1 other name.
AACGCAUAUUGCGCUCCCCGGUAAUCCGAGGAGCAUGCCUGUUUGAGGAGUCUUGUCAACCAUCCUAGCCUCUGCUCUGGCCGUACGGCCGGUUGCAUCGGCUAGAACUCUUCAUUGAAAUGGACAAGAUUUAUUUGAGCUUCUUUCCGGCGCAAGUUGGAUAGCUCUAAAUGCAAAUAAACCAAUACUCCUAGGAUUUCGCCGUUUUCCACGGUCGAGCCCCAUCCACAAGGAGACUUGGGAACUUUCGCGACCUGCACUUGUGCAGGAGCAUGAGCAGAUCGAUAAAACUUCUCGCUCAAAGUUUUCCUUAGCCUUGUUAAGAUAUAUUUUUCUCGUAAAAAUGUUUUAACUACUAAGGAAGAUGAGAAGACAAUACAAGAUCUGAGCGUGUGCGUUAGUGCCCCGAGGCUCUGAUAGAUGGGACCCGGUCGAGGAUCAUGACGGCGACGUUCUAGUUCUCUUCUCCUCAAAUCAAGCAAGAGUACCCGCUGAACUUAA